This 2723-nucleotide long non-coding RNA is filed under the name Canis lupus familiaris (dog). RNAcentral describes it as "lncRNA (ENSCAFG00000051487.1)". Lineage: Eukaryota; Metazoa; Chordata; Mammalia; Carnivora; Canidae. The record is from RNAcentral.
AAAUAGAGACAUUUAGGUGGAUUUUAGUGAUCUGGGUUCUUGUAGUAACCUCUAUUGCUUGAAGUCUCUAUAAUGACCUCAUUUAUAAUUAUUUCAUAGGGAUGCUUAUUCAUCUCAAGACUCAUCCUAACACCUUUUAUUACUCCAGACCCAUAACCAAAGUUAGAUCAUCAAAGAUUUCAGGGGCCAGGUAAAAAUGUCUAACAGUGGAGGAGAAUGAUAAGAUUUUACCAAUUUAUAUCAGCCUGCAGAAGGAAUGCAGCCUUGCUGACAAUUAUAGCCUGACACAUUUUAAGAUUUUUGACCUCUAGAAGUGUAAUAUAACAAAUUUGUGUUAAGCCACUAAGUAUGUUGUUAUUUGUUACAGCAGUAAUAGGAAACAAAUACAAUGAACUACUAAAGUUUUAUUUACUAUGUAUCAUCAAGACAAUUCUAGUUCUACUGAACAGAGAAAUCAGUAGUCAUAAUCUAUUACUUAAUUCCAAGAUCUAAGCCAGCUCUGAGAGAGGAGACCCUUGAAUGAAGUGAAGAACAUGUCUUUUUGAGGAAGGAUCCUGAAACAGACCCACAAGUAUAUAGUUUAAAUCUUUCUUCUAGCUUUUCCCUAAAGGGUUAUGAACUGGAAAAUGGGAAAUACUUAAACUUUUCAGGGGUUACUGUAGAGUGGCUCUGAAAUGACAUUAAUUCCUGAUGACCAAAAAUGCUACCGUGGUCUGUCAGAGUAGGGUUUAUAGAUGUCACAUGAUAAAUAGAGUUUUCACCUGAGUCCUUCUCACAGUAGGUAUUAGUGUAUUAAUUUUCUAUGCUGUAUAUUAAAUUACCACAAACUAAGUGGUUUAAAAUGACACCCAUUUUUAACUCACAGUUCUGUAGGUCAGCUGUCUAUGAAGGCUUGGCUAGGAUCUCAGUUUAGGGUUUUCCAAGGCCAAAGGUAUCAUGUGGUCCAGACUCUUAUUUGAAGGCUUAAAACCACUGCCAACCUCCUCAGGUUGUUUGCAGAAUUCAGUUCCUUGUCCUUGUAGGGCUGAGAUCUCAAUUUCCUUGCUGACUGUUGGCCAGGGAGGUUCUCCUCUGUUUCCAGAGGUUGUCUGCAUUCCUUUGCAUAUGACCACCCCUUUCCAUAUUCAAAGCCAGAAUGGCAUAUCGAGUUCUUCUCACACAUUGAAUCUCUCUGGCUUUUCCUUAUGGUGCCAGGUGGAGAAAGUGCUCUGCCUUUUAGGGCUCAUGUGAUUAGAUUAGGUUCCGUCAGAUAAUAUUCUUGUCUUAAAGCCAAUUCUGCCAUUUAACUAUCACAAUCAUAAAGAUGAUAACCCGUCAUAGCCACAGGCUCUGGGGAUUAGAGUGGAACAUCUUUGAGGGACCAUUUUAGAAACUAGGCCUACAAUACUAGGCCAAGUGGAUCUAUGAAUCCACUCAGCAAUUAUUUUCUGUUUCAUGGUUGGAAUAGAUAUUCUUGGCUACUGGAGAGCCCCAACAAUGGGUAUCUGACUUUUACAAGAGUUGUAUUAUCAUAGGAAAGGCCAAUAAGUAGUCUUUGGGGACAUGGUAGAGAAUAGUGCCAACAUCAGUGCCAUCAUCUCUGAUACCUGGUAUAGAGAUUUUUUUUUAAAAAUUUAUUUACUUAUUCAUGAGAGACACAGAAAGAGAGGCAGAGACACAGGCAGAGGGAGGAGAAGCAAGCUCCAUGUAAUGAGUCCAAUGUGGGGUUUGAUCCCGGAAACCCGGGAUCAGGCCCUGAGCCAAAGGCAGAUGCUCAACCGCUGAGCCACCCAGGCGUCCCUGGUAUAGAGAUUUAAAUAUGGGAUAUAACUUAUUCUCUAAAUCAACAGAAAAGAACACAAGAAGUAGGUAAUUAUUUUGUCUUUUUUGUGUUGUUGAGACAACAGUAUAGUUGACAAGUGCCAUGUCCACUGUCAAAAUUGAAUCUGCAGAGAUAUUGAUCAUGCCAAUUUUCUAUAGAAUAUCAUGCUCUCCGCUACACGGAUAACAUGUUAAUGGCCCUCGUACACAGAAACUAGCAAAUAUUCUAGGUGCUUUUGCUAUACAUGUACAUGCCAGAGGAUAGGAAAUAAAUUUACUGCCCUAUUGAAAUUUCUAGGGUUCUAUGGUCUGGGGUUUAUAGAGAUCAUUUUCUUCAAAGUGAAAGACUCAGUGCUGUGUCUUGAGUCCUAUCACUAAAAAAGAGGCAUAGCACUCAAUGGGAUAUUUGGAUUCUGAGGGCAAUAUAUUUCUUAUUUGUAUUUGCUUCUCUAACUUAUUAACUAACCCAUAAACAUAAGCUCCUUUGCUACUUGGAUCUUAUGAUCCAGCUGGUCCAAUAAUGCCCAAAAUAUCUGGGAGGGACCUUGGCAUACACACACAUGUGUUGCACAUACAUAUAUACAUUAUACUAUAUGAUAUUAAAUAUUAUAUUGCAUUAUAAUAUGUUAUGUGUUAUACUACAUUAUAAGGUAUACUUUAUAUAUACACAUUAUAACAUGCAUUGUAAUAUGUAAUAUAAAUGUAUAAUAUUAAUUAUAUACCUAUAUUUAUAUAUAAAAUCAGUCUUGAUCAAGUACUAAAGGUACAAAUAAAUUGUGCAAACAAGUAGCUCAGAAUCCUGGAGGGUGCCUUUUGACCAGUUAAUGAAGGAGAAAAACCUGGUUUAAAGAAUAUUCCACAUGAUAUGCUGGUACCAGCUACAUCAUUAUAGUCCCACUCAUGGGUAUACUAGAAAGAUUCAA